Molecule: ribosomal RNA, 253 nt
Filed under: uncultured bacterium
Lineage: Bacteria
Description: partial 16S ribosomal RNA
Rfam family: Bacterial small subunit ribosomal RNA
Source: RNAcentral
UACGUAGGUGGCAAGCGUUAUCCGGAAUUACUGGGCGUAAAGCGCACGCAGGCGGCUCUUUAAGUUUGACGUGAAAGCUCUCGGCUUAACUGGGAGAGGUCGUUGAAUACUGAGGAGCUUGAGGCAAUGAGAGGGGUGUAGAAUUCCCGGUGUAGUGGUGGAAUGCGUAGAUAUCGGGGGGAAUACCAGUGGCGAAAGCGGCACCCUAGCAUUAGCCUGACGCUCAUGUGCGAAAGCGUGGGGAGCGAACGGG